GGAUACCACUUGGAAACAGGUGCUAAUACCGGAUAACAACAAUAGCUGCAUGGCUAUUGCUUAAAAGGCGGCGAAAGCUGUCGCUAAAGGAUGGACCCGCGGUGCAUUAGCUAGUUGGUAAGGUAAUGGCUUACCAAGGCGACGAUGCAUAGCCGAGUUGAGAGACUGAUCGGCCACAUUGGGACUGAGACACGGCCCAAACUCCUACGGGAGGCAGCAGUAGGGAAUCUUCCACAAUGGGCGAAAGCCUGAUGGAGCAACGCCGCGUGAGUGAAGAAGGUUUUCGGAUCGUAAAGCUCUGUUGUUGGUGAAGAAGGAUAGAGGUAGUAACUGGCCCCUAUUUGACGGUAAUCAGCCAGAAAGUCACGGCUAACUACGUGCCAGCAGCCGCGGUAAUACGUAGGUGGCAAGCGUUGUCCGGAUUUAUUGGGCGUAAAGCGAGCGCAGGCGGAAAGAUAAGUCUGAUGUGAAAGCCCCCGGCUUAACCGAGGAAUUGCAUCGGAAACUGUGUUUCUUGAGUGCAGAAGAGGAGAGUGGAACUCCAUGUGUAGCGGUGGAAUGCGUAGAUAUAUGGAAGAACACCAGUGGCGAAGGCGGCUCUCUGGUCUGUAACUGACGCUGAGGCUCGAAAGCAUGGGUAGCGAACAGGAUUAGAUACCCUGGUAGUCCAUGCCGUAAACG
Molecule: ribosomal RNA, 681 nt
Filed under: uncultured bacterium
Lineage: Bacteria
Description: bacterial SSU rRNA
Rfam family: Bacterial small subunit ribosomal RNA
Source: RNAcentral